RNAcentral lists this ribosomal RNA (119 nucleotides) under Pteropus alecto (black flying fox). The record is from RNAcentral. Lineage: Eukaryota; Metazoa; Chordata; Mammalia; Chiroptera; Pteropodidae.
GUCUAUGACCAUGCCACCCUGAACAAGCCUGAUCCUGUCUGAUCUCAGAAGCUAAGCAGGGUCGGGCCUGGUUAGUACUUGGAUGGGAGACCACCUAGGAAGACCAGGUGCUGUAGGCA